GACGAACCGUGCGAACGUUAUUCGGAAUCACUGGGCUUAAAGCGCGUGUAGGCGGGUGGGAACGUCGGCCGCUGAAAUCCCCCGGCUCAACCGGGGAAGGGGCGCCGAAACGGCCCGCCUGGAGGGACGUAGGGGGAGCUGGAACUUCCGGUGGAGCGGUGAAAUGCGUUGAGAUCGGAAGGAACGCCCGUGGCGAAAGCGAGCUCCUGGACGUUUCUGACGUCUGAGACGCGAAAGCCAGGGGAGCGAACGGG
This 254-nucleotide ribosomal RNA is filed under the name uncultured bacterium. RNAcentral describes it as "partial 16S ribosomal RNA". It matches the Rfam family "Bacterial small subunit ribosomal RNA", at positions 524 to 776 of the family's 1533-position model. The record is from RNAcentral.